This 72-nucleotide transfer RNA is filed under the name Camelus bactrianus (Bactrian camel). It matches the Rfam family "tRNA". Rfam says of the family: Transfer RNA (tRNA) molecules are approximately 80 nucleotides in length. Their secondary structure includes four short double-helical elements and three loops (D, anti-codon, and T loops). Lineage: Eukaryota; Metazoa; Chordata; Mammalia; Artiodactyla; Camelidae. The record is from Rfam by way of RNAcentral. RNAcentral also lists the same sequence under 1 other name.
AGGGGUAGAGCUCAGUGGUAGAGUGCAUGCUUAGCACUCACGGGGUCCUGGGUUCUAUCCCCAGUACCUCCA